GAAAGUAAGCAAGGGCAGACGGUGGAUGCCUUGGCUCUCGGAGGCGACGAAGGACGUGAUAAGCUGCGAAAAGCCCGGGGGAGGCGCAAAUAGCCCUUGAUCCCGGGAUAUCCGAAUGGGGCAACCCGGCAGGCUGAAGGCCUGCCAUCCCGUAAGGGAGGCGAACGUGGGGAACUGAAACAUCUAAGUACCCAUAGGAGGAGAAAAUAAACAAUGAUUCCGUAAGUAGUGGCGAGCGAACACGGAAGAGCCCAAACCCAUGUCGUCUAGGCGACACGGGGGUUGUAGGACCACGACGUGGCAAGAUAGAGUCAAGUGGAACGCCUUGGAAAAGGCGACCGUAGAGGGUGAUAGUCCCGUACACGACUGACGAUUGAAGCCUAGUGGCAUCCUGAGUAGCGCGGGGCACGAGAAAUCUUGCGUGAAACUGCGGGGCCCAUCCCGUAAGGCUAAAUACUCCCGAGAGACCGAUAGCGAACCAGUACCGUGAGGGAAAGGUGAAAAGAACCCCGAGCAGGGGAGUGAAAUAGACCCUGAACCCGUCUGCCUACAAGCGGUCGGAGCAUCGUCAAGAUGUGACGGCGUGCCUUUUGCAUAAUGAACCUACGAGUUACCUUCCCCGGCAAGGUUAAGUACCUAAGGUACGGAGCCGAAGCGAAAGCGAGUCUGAAGAGGGCGGCCAGUCGGGGGGGGUAGACGCGAAACCGAGUGAUCUACCCUUGGCCAGGUUGAAGGUUGGGUAACACCAACUGGAGGACCGGAUGGGUAAGCGUUGAAAAGCUUUCCAAUGAGCUGAGGGUAGGGGUGAAAGGCUAAUCAAACUCGGAGAUAGCUCGUACUCCCCGAAAUGCAUUUAGGUGCAGCCUCUUUAUAGUAUAUCGUGAGGUAGAGCGACUGAUUGGAUGCGAGGGCUUCACCGCCUAUCAAGUCCAGAUAAACUCCGAAUGCGCGAUAUAUAUUUAAAGGGAGUGAGGGCGCGGGUGCUAAGGUCCGUGUCCGAGAGGAGAAGAAUCCAGACCACCGGCUAAGGCCCCCAAAUGAUCGUUGAGUUGAACUAACGAGGUCGGAUCGCAGAGACAGCUAGGAUGUUGGCUUGGAAGCAGCCAUUCAUUUAAAGAGUGCGUAACAGCUCACUAGUCGAGCGAUCUGGCGUGGAUAAUAAUCGGGCAUAAACGAUCUGCCGAAGCCGUGGAUGUCGUAAGACAUGGUAGGGGAGCAUUCCAUGCGGCGUCGAAGAUGAGGGAUGACCCUUGUUGGAGCGCAUGGAAAAGCAAAUGUAGGUAUGAGUAACGAUAAGGGGGGCGAGAAACCCCCCCGCCGAAAGACCAAGGUUUCCUGAUCAACGCUAAUCGGAUCAGGGUGAGUCGGGACCUAAGGCAAAGCCGAACGGCGACGCCGAUGGAAGAAUGGGUUAAUAUUCCCAUACUGCCUCAUGGAGUGACGUGGAGACGGAGAAGUGACAGUCCUGCCGGCUGACGGAAUAGCCGGUUGAAGGGUGUAGGAGUCGAUCAUGGUAGGCAAAUCCGCCGUGAGAUCCGAACCUGACAGUAUACUGAGCGCUUGCGCGACGUAAUAUGGACGUAACCAUGCUCCCAAGAAAAUCCGCUAAACUUAUCCAUGCGGCACCCGUACCGUAAACGGACACACGUGGUCGGGUUGAGAAUACUGAGGCGCUCGAGUGACUCACGGUUAAGGAACUAGGCAAAUUGACCCUGUAACUUCGGGAUAAAGGGUCCUCGUCGUAAGGCGAGGCGCAGAGAAUAGGUCCAGGCAACUGUUUAACAAAAACACAUGGCUGUGCUAAAUGGAAACAUGACGUAUACAGCCUGACACCUGCCCGGUGCUGGAAGGUUAAGAGGAGAUGUCAUCGCAAGAGAAGCGUUGAAUUGAAGCCCCAGUAAACGGCGGCCGUAACUAUAACGGUCCUAAGGUAGCGAAAUUCCUUGUCGGGUAAGUUC
Molecule: ribosomal RNA, 1958 nt
Filed under: human gut metagenome
Description: bacterial LSU rRNA
Rfam family: Bacterial large subunit ribosomal RNA
Source: RNAcentral